ACAGUGACAUUUUUCUCGCUUUACACACGUCAUAUUAUUCUGCUAGCAAUCACAUAACGUAGAAUACUUCAGUGAUGUGUUAGGGUAAUUUAAGGAAAUCAUUUUGUUUGGUUUAUUUUGGUUCUGAUGAAUUACAGGCGUGUUUUGUCGAUGUAGUUUUGAACAGCCCCGGUUAGGUGCUAGUUUGGCGAACAAACUGUUUCGGCCGUAUUGUUUACUGCACUUGUCUGAUAACUGAAUUACCGGGUCGCCGGAAUCAGCAAACAAUUAAAACUACGUUUAUACUGUCUUUGGUUACCGGUUAUUCGUUCGUAAAAUACUGUACAGCAAUCAAAACG
Molecule: non-coding RNA, 338 nt
Organism: Cinara cedri
Lineage: Eukaryota; Metazoa; Arthropoda; Insecta; Hemiptera; Aphididae
Source: the annotation of a GenBank genome assembly